Molecule: ribosomal RNA, 467 nt
Filed under: uncultured bacterium
Lineage: Bacteria
Description: partial 16S ribosomal RNA
Rfam family: Bacterial small subunit ribosomal RNA
Source: RNAcentral
GAUGAACGCUGGCGGCGUGCUUAACACAUGCAAGUCGAGCGGAAAGGCCCAAGCUUGCUUGGGUACUCGAGUGGCGAACGGGUGAGUAACACGUGGGUGAUCUGCCCUGCACUUCGGGAUAAGCCUGGGAAACUGGGUCUAAUACCGGAUAGGACGAUGGUUUGGAUGCCAUUGUGGAAAGUUUUUUCGGUGUGGGAUGAGCUCGCGGCCUAUCAGCUUGUUGGUGGGGUAAUGGCCUACCAAGGCGUCGACGGGUAGCCGGCCUGAGAGGGUGUACGGCCACAUUGGGACUGAGAUACGGCCCAGACUCCUACGGGAGGCAGCAGUGGGGAAUAUUGCACAAUGGGCGCAAGCCUGAUGCAGCGACGCCGCGUGGGGGAUGACGGCCUUCGGGUUGUAAACUCCUUUCGCUAGGGACGAAGCGUUUUGUGACGGUACCUGGAGAAGAAGCACCGGCUAACUACGUG